This 224-nucleotide long non-coding RNA is filed under the name Setaria italica (foxtail millet). Its description in RNAcentral is "long non-coding RNA (SITA_LNC002060)". The record is from RNAcentral. Lineage: Eukaryota; Viridiplantae; Streptophyta; Magnoliopsida; Poales; Poaceae.
AGGAGUUGCAUAAAUUUUUAGAAAACAUAAAGAUCCGGGUCUAUCGGAUUGGCUGGAUGUUUCUGAUUUGUGAGAUAAUUCUAGAAAUUCCGUUUUUUAACAGGUUUCGUGAGGAUUAACAUGAAGGUUGAUUGUUUUCCUUUUUAUUGGCAAACCUUAUGGGAAAUGAAUUGUCUCACUAGAAAUUCAACAUUGCCUUAGCAAAGUCUUUAGCUUGAACCAUG